RNA transcript from Diachasmimorpha longicaudata, 4550 nucleotides. RefSeq lists it as uncharacterized. The transcript is spliced from 7 exons. The record is from RefSeq and is a predicted model, not a curated record. Lineage: Eukaryota; Metazoa; Arthropoda; Insecta; Hymenoptera; Braconidae.
AUAAGCGAGUGAAUACCGCGGAAGGAAUAAGAGUGAGAUAGAGAAGGAGACGCAUGCGUCCUUUAAUGGCUUGCGCCUUCUCUGAUACGUAUCCCACAUACCCCAGUAUCCAGCAGCGUCCGCCCCCGUUGCGGCCCAUCCCGCCAUCCCCAGCCUACAACCCCAACCCUGACAUCCAUCUCUCACUCCCUCGUAUUCCGCUGGUACAGUGAUGUUGGCAUUUCGUGGACUCUACUGCAACACCGUGCGUAUCGCGAGAGUAUCUAAUUUAAUCUGAAUGAUUUAGAUGCAUGACGCACACGCGAUAUCAUCCUGACAAUGACCUUUCACACAAUAUAUAACAAUUGUCAGAAGGAUUAAAUAGUUGAAUUGAAAUCGUCAAGAAUUUCGGACAUUUGUGACAAGUGUUUCUAAGCAAUUGUGCAUUAGUGUGCAUAAUUACCACAUUCAAAAUUUAUCAAUUCAGACUGUUUGAUUCCCCAAUAACGCAUAAUAAAUAUUUCAAUAAUUAAAGUUUUAAAAAAUUUCAUGUUGUCAACAUGCAGACUGUUCCAUUAUACUUGUUAAUUCCAAAUCUCGUUCCUAGUGCUUCGACAAAAUCAUUCCAUUUUCUGAGAGACGGCUAAUUGAGACAACCAAUAAUUUGACUUAUCCAGAGGGAGAAUAAAUGAACAAAUGAGAGUUGAGGCCGCUCAAGGGUAUGAAAUAUCAGACAGAGAGGGAAGGAGAGAAAGAGAACGAAAGGGAUGAUAAUAAUGAGCUGAAGAUAAAAAUACGAGUUAUCAAAAUUAAAAUUAAUAUAACACGGAAUUUAGUGUCUCACAAAUGACAUUUAAAUGGCGAAGAGAUAGCAGUAGUUGAGUAACACCGAUGAUUUCGGUGUUGAUUGUCGUCUCAACCCAGAAGAUAUGACGGUUAUGCCUUCUGGAUCUGAUGUUGCUGAUAAAGCGGUUUCCACUGAGGACGCCUCGGAGAUGGUGCAGCUUGAUGCUGUUCUUGCUGUACUUGUUGAGACAAAAAUAAAGGCCAUCAAGAGAGCUUCAUUGAGCUCAUCCAAGAGCAAGUGGCCCAGUGCACCAGCUAGUCCGAGAAGGCCGAGGUUAAUGUCCUCGUCGACGGCCUCAUCAUCACAAAAUCGUAAUCAUCAAGAUCAUUUUGAUAUUAAACAUUUUGAUAGGGGAGAUAUGGAGCAAAGACGGAAGACCUAUAGGCACAGACGGUAUGAUUCCGCACCGUGUCAACAGUACAUUGAAGAGAUCGAUGGGCAGGGUGCUCAGCAGGAGCAUCACAAUGCAAUAGUUCACAAGGAAUUAAAAGCCCGAAGAAGAGCAUCGGAAAUGAUACAUCGAAAUCCAAAGAAAAAACGUCGCUACUCCCGUCGAAUAAGUUCCCAUGUACUCCACAGUAUUGACUCACCCAUCGAACUCCCCGAGCUCCUCGACGUUGAUCGUCUACACGAUGAUUUGAAACUGAUACAUUACGAAAGAAACCGCGAUGCACUGAGUGACACGGGAGAUUUUCCGAGCAUACACCAAAGUGCCUACGUCUCCCAAAGUGCAGCGCAUCUUAAAUUAGCGUAUGAGGAUGAGGAUUAUGUCGCACUAAAUCUCGAGGAUGAGUUUGACGGUGCAUCCAUGGUGUCUGGUCAUUAUCCCCGGGACUUACCCCGCGACCGACGGGAUACACUGGGUGAGCGUUAUCAUCGGCCUCGGAGAAAACACAAACGAAAAAAACAUAGACAUGGGGUAUUUCUUCCCGAGGUAAAUCAAGUCCCUCAAGUCGUUCUCAUUGAUCAUGACGAACUACCACUCCGCGCGCGAUGGACUAUUGUCGCUACUGCCUGCCUGCUCUUUGCCAUGUCACUACUACUAGUCGGUGUUACUUUGAGAAUGGCACCAAUCAUCGAUGACAUGGUUGGAGUGUAGAAUUUUAGAUAUCUCUGAGAGGAGUGGCAUGUAAUAAAACAUGAGUUGAAAGAAUAUUCCCUCGCAGCUUUCAUAAAAGACGGUUGGAUAUAUUGAAAUUGUGUGUGAAAUGGCUCGCUGAAUCGAUUUUCUGGAAUGAUAAAGAGGGUUUGUUGGUCCCCGGGCGAGAGUCGCCAAGUCCUGGCUAUCGUUUCACAGCACCCUUUCUCUCCUCAAUUGUUUUCUCGUUAUUCUCAAUCCGAUUCAUUGUUUUGCCACAAAAAUAUCAAAUAUACGAAACAUGUAAAUAUAAAUAGUCGUAGUAGGUAGGAAAAUGAAUCCCUCUGUGAUAAAUAACCGAAGUGACAUGUCACGAAAGAAGGAAGAAAUAAUAUUGGCAAUGUCAUUAAAGGGAUGCCCUCUAUUCACGAGUUAAAAGUAUAACUUGCUUUGUACAUUUUACGGGGAAGGGAUACAUCCCUAUAUUGGAGCCUAGAGUCGUCGAGUGCCCGAGGGGUUGCGAGGUCGAGGGUGUCUUAUUCACGUCACUCUAAAUUAAAGACGCCUGGCCCCUGGAUCUUCAGUCUGUUGCGAGAUACCCGUGGCCUUAGUGGUCCACCCGGUUCACCGGAAGCUAAUCAGUUUCAAGUUUUUUUUUUUCGAUUUCUCUAUGUUUAUUACUCCUUGUGAGAAGAGUUUUUUUCGGAAAUUAUGUUGGUUAUUGCGGCAACAUGUGACAAUAUUAUUUUAAGCGCUAUGGAUAAUCAGCUAUCGAUUAUUCCCGUUGAAUCCUCGGAUUUAAUCCUCUGAGUUCGGUUCAAUUGUUCUCGUGAAAACGUUCGCAAGGAGAACGAGGAGCUGUUAAAUGCUUUGAACCGAGACACAUCUGUGCCAGACAAUAGUACAACAGCUCCACUUUAAAACUUUUUACCAAUCCCUCAUCUACGAGGGAGAUUGUUGGCUGCUGAUGCCAGUGAGAACCGAGAAUCACAACUCACAAUGAAGUAAAUGCCGUGACAUCGAGAAAAUGAGACACGAUAUACCCCUUUGUUCAAGCCGACUGAGGAUAAUCUGAGGGUGAAUUCGUCGUCAAAUGUGAGAGUAGUACGUCAAUACAACUAGUAUUAGUACGAACUGCUCAAUUUUUGGUUCAUCCAAAUACAGCAAAGACAUACCUUGACAUGAAUUUGAUGUAUAUAGGUGUUAUGUAUGAUGACGACUCAUGUUAUUAGUUUUAUACACUAGUGUCACGCAAAUUGACAAUGGAGAUUACCGAGUCAUUAAGAUCAAUGCAUAGCUAUUUCCUCCCAAUUCUAUGACAAUCAAAUUGUAAUUGUCAAGUGGGGAGAUGAAAGUUCAGUUAACAUUUUCCGGAAUACCUACUAAUCUGAAAAGAUCUCAAUAUUAUUUUUCAGUCAUUCGAUCAUUCCAUUGCACGCCGCAGUAGGUCAAUAUCAAGAGCACAAAUAAUUUAAUAAUAGUAAGAAUAAUAAUAAUACGAUUCUGUCAAAUUUCGAAGGACCCGAGAGGAUUGUUUUGCUCCCCAGAAAUGCAAUUAUUUUAUACGUCCAGAGACUCUUGCACUUUUUAUUGUCUUCGGUAAUUGAAUUACUGUCUUCAAUGGCCAAACACGUAGUCUUCUAAAUAAAGCAGACAAUAAGAUUAAGAUGUUGUACCCCUGGAGUAAAAAAAAAAUACAAUGUGACAAUGCCAACGGCUAAAGUCCACGUCAUUCUAUUUGAAAAGACAGAGUUGAAUUGGAGGGAUCUAGCGAACGGGUAUGGCCUAUUGAAUACGCAAUCCCACUCGUGAAUUUGUUGAUUAAAUAAUUUUACAUGCGUGACACAACGAAUAAUAUCAGAGAGCAUUAAAGAGAAUUUAUCACGGCGUUAUGAACGUGCUGGAACGUUCACCGUUUGUGAAAAGAAAAAUAAUAUUUAAUAUUGAAAUUAAUGUAAAGCAGAUGAAUAUUGCGAUUAUAUCUAGAAUUUUCCGAGUUCCUUUUACUGUAUUAUAAUGCGUUCAAUGAUGAACAGGGCCUUGAGUAAGAAAUUUAAUGCCAUCUUACUCCCUAUUUUUUCAUUCUAUUGACAAUCUUUCGCUCAUGAUAAUUCGCUACGAUGAUUCAAUUCCAUUUUGACUAUUAACCGGUUUUCAAAUUAUCUUAUGUAAUUAUCAAUUUUUCGAAACUUCAGUCAACCAUCAUUUAAACUAUCAUCAUUUAGCAAAUAAAACUCUCUAAAGCAUUUAAGUAUAUUCCAUAAUACUUCUAAACUAUUACGAGACAUCGUUUUUUUACUCAACGAAGGAACCAAAUGCAAUCAAUCCGCCUGAAUCUCUACCGUUGACAAUCAAUCUAAUGGGAGAAAGACUCUCCACUGCAUACAUCCUAUCAACAAUAUAGCCAAUGUAUAAUUACAAUCGAUGAAUAUCAAAAUAAUAUAGAUGAUUAUGAAAUAACAUAAUAAAAUUUUAACGAGUGUUGUGACAAUGUAUGUUGUGCCAAUGAGAAUUAAAUAACGGAAACGCAUAAGAUCAAAAUAACGAGAUAUUUAUGUUUAUAUAUAUAUUGUCCUAUUAAUGCAUGCAUGUAUCAUGGUUAUCAAUUACGAUGUAAUAUCCAAAUAGAUUGGGUUUUAAUUGUUA